Molecule: long non-coding RNA, 1402 nt
Filed under: Arabidopsis lyrata
Lineage: Eukaryota; Viridiplantae; Streptophyta; Magnoliopsida; Brassicales; Brassicaceae
Description: long non-coding RNA (ALYR_LNC000049)
Source: RNAcentral
GGUUGCUGCUCUUUGCUCAUUGCCAACAAUGGCAUCUUUACUUGUAUUCAGCCACGCAGAGAUCAAGACUAAAUAUUCUUUCACUGUCCACUUGUUCCUCUUUCUUGGUGUGGAUUUAGCUUUGGCGCUUCCACCUUGACUUGUAGCAUCUGUCCAUUAGGUGCUGUAGGCAGGGACUUCAGAUUCACCAAGGUUAAUACUUGAUGAUGCUGACACAUAAGUAUUGGAGAAUGGACUAGGCGUUUCUUGUUGACUUGUUAACAGCUCCAUGAAGUUUCCAGAGUUAGUAUAUGGAUUCAUUUAGAGAGUUUUAGAGGGUUUACAAAGGGAAAGAAAGAGAUCUGCUGGAAGAACUGAAGCAACAGAAUGAGAGAAUGAAAGAAAUUUCUGAGAAUAUGAAAUAGAAUGAGAGUUUCUGUGAGUUUUAAAAGUAUUAUCAAUAUAGGGUUAGAUUUAUUACAGGGUUAUUGUUUAUUUACAGUUGAAGUUAGCAUUCAAUGGAAGACUUAAUUAUAAACCUAAUGAAAAGCAAACAAGCAUUGAACACAUACAAGUAUAAUCACUACACAAAGCAUUUAUCUGAUGUAGACAUUCUAAUUCAAUUUUAGUUAGACAAAUAGCAAACAAUUAAAGACACUCUAAAAGCAUCUAUCACAAACUGACACAACCAACAACACUCAAGUCUCACCUAAUCUUAAUGAAGACUAAUCAAUGUUCUAAAUGGAGUUAAAGAUAGCAUUGACUUACCCUAAUGUCUGGCCAUUAAACUGGUCCACGCAGCUUCUCAGUUCUCUCGCCAUAUCUCUUCCAUAUGCAGCAGCACACUCCUCUCAAUUAUCUCACCAGUUUCCCAAUAAUGACAUAUAACAGAGAACAAUAAAUCAAUCUAAGAGAUAAAUAGCAAACAGAGAACAAUAAAUCAAACUAAUAACAUUUGAUCCUCACAAAAUCGAUUAACAUUUGUUAUUCAAAAUCUCAUAUAAACCUAACAGAGUAUUAAUCAUCACAAUCAUCUCAUAUAAACCUAACAGAGUAUUAAUCAUCACAAUCGAUUAACAUUUGUUAUUCACAAUCAUCCACACGGAUCAAAAACAGAGUAUUAAUCAUCACAAUCAUCCAUCAUGAAUAAAAUUAAUCAACAUCAUGAAUGAAAUUAAGAUCCAACAGAGUAUUAAGCAUCACAAUCAUCCACAUGGAUCAAAAAACUGAGUAUUAAGAUCCAACAAACUAUUAACAAGUCUAUUUUCUUUACAUUCAUGCCUUACAAUACAGAGACACACACAAUGCAGCUUCCAAUUAGCCAAAUACUAGAGUUAACAACGAAAAACAUAUUUUUCCCAAAUCCCGAAAUCCUAAUUUCACAAAUCUGAAGAACCCUAAUUUGAAAACUCUUUUAAUACAU